AUAAAUCCUCAAGAUUCAAAUCUUUGUCACUUGGCGCUCUCAUAGGAUAUCGUGUCUAUCUUCCUGAUGAGAUCUCCCCUUUCAUCUUCAAUCUAGGGCUAGGGUUUUUCGUUUUUCUUUAUUCAUAUUGGUUUUCAUUUCUAUUCUUGAGGCUCUUCAGGAUCCGCAAAAUAUUCUCUCUCCUGGGCAAUGGUGGAACAAUUGCUUUAUUGGACUAUCGAUUGUGUCUUUUCUCAUAUAUGUCUUUUUUUCUUUCUAGAAUGAUGAGUCCUGUUUGGGUGCCGAGAAAAUUCUGGUGAUCAUUUUCGUUUUUUCAAAACCUCAAAUUUUCUGAUAUCGAUUGAAUUUUUGGGAGGAGAAAUGCUGUUCGGUCUUCUCUUGAAACCGCAUGCAGCGGCUGUGAAAUGCAGACACAUGGCUCGUCAUUUUCAUGUGAUAAAACCAUGGUCACGAACCAUGGAAAAUGCUAUACCUGUGACUUCACCGUCGUCGGAUUGAUUAGGGUUCCCUUCUCCCUCUCCAAUGCAGGCAAAUUGGUUCAUUCUUGUGGGCUGUUAAAGGCAGGAUCAGGUUUGUCACAACAGGUGCACAUUAUACUGUUUAUCUUGGAACAGGAUAUACUCAUUCUUUCUAAUUAUCUGUCAAUGUGAUACAGAUUUCUUGUUUGAAUUUUUUGCCCUUUGAUUUGGAUAUUGUUUUUCUCCUUUUGAGCAAGGGAUUUUGGAUUUAUUGAAAAUGUUCUGGUCAUUGAAGUCAGGUUGAAGCAAUGAAUGAGGCUUGAUGAUUCUAAAACAUCCCUUUUGACAAAAUUCUGAAGGUUGGAUUUGUUGGAGGAACCAGUCUGCUUUGAACAAGGAGGCUGAAAUUCACUGUUUCGUGCAAAUAAACAUGCCAUAAGGUAACAUAGCAUUUAAUAAUUGCUCAUUGCUAUUGACUUGAAGCUUUUGGACUUUGAGCUUGUUGGUAUAGCUUCUUAUUUUGGCUUCGCUGGAAGCUGGAAGUUAAGCCCUUUUACACGAAGUAACAUUUUCCUGA
Long non-coding RNA from Vitis vinifera (wine grape), 1035 nucleotides. RefSeq lists it as uncharacterized. NCBI's taxonomy places the organism in Eukaryota, Viridiplantae, Streptophyta, Magnoliopsida, Vitales, Vitaceae. The transcript has 2 exons. The record is from RefSeq and is a predicted model, not a curated record.